UUUUUUUUUUUCUAAAAAAAGCCAGAAUUCUCAAUUUUAUCAGAAAUUCUUAACAUUUAAGUUUUUACAACUCAUUAGGAUAUCAAUAUAUAUUUCUCCACCAACUAAACUCAUCCCCACCCUGAAUCAUUAUCCAAGGAGAUACAUGAACUGUGAGAAGGCAACCAGUGAUGAAGGAAAGAGGCCAGAAAGAGAAAACAGGGUGUAUGAGGACUGAGAAGGAAAUCUUGAAUAAAGGACCAGGGAAUUUUAAAGAUUAGCCAGGAUGUUCAGUCCGCCCCUGAGAAUCACAGGUUCGUUUUUAAGAAAUCACUAUUAUUGCCCAAAUCUGAAGAACAUCCAUGUGGCUGUCAGUAAUUCUGUCUUGGUAAGGAUUUGGAGCACUAGCUGUAAGGCUGCUCCCAGGAAUCAGUUACUCAGGUAAUUAGCAAGGUCCAGCUGGGACCCCAAAAGCACCCACUGCACAUUACUUAUAAAUGGAAACUCUUAUAUGAACGAAAUAAAAUGUUUCAUAUUUUCACUUGUGAAAAUAAUAAUGACACCUUCACUCAUGACCAAGUGUUGAGUGUGUAAGGGUUGUGAGCAGCAGACAAAUGUCAUCCUUUAUUAACAUCUCAAACACCCCUGAUAAGUCCAGGAGGAAGGAAUUAAUGUAAUCUUGAUUUUAGAGAUGAGGAAAAUAGACUUAGAGUUUACUAAGAGACUUGCCCUGUACCUAGGAAGCGGUGGGUGAGGUCUGGGAACAUCUAAUCACUAAUCUACAUUACUAGUGCUAAGUGUGGAGUACAGUAGAAACAUCCAACAUACUGGAGAUGGUUAGCUACUCCUCUCCCACACUUCCAAAUGUUCCAGAUAAAUCAAAACAUUGAUUAUAUUGUAUCUCUUGAUUCACUGGAACACAAAAGAGACUGUUUAAAAAUGCUAGUUAUUCCUUAUGAUUUUUUAUGAAGAAAAUGAUAUACCUGCUAUAUUUAUGACUAUGAGAAUUCACAGGGACAAGGGUCUAUACUAUUAGAUGGGAAAUUAGGUAAGUACAAAGUACUUGAGCUCAGCAUCCUACACUGAAAGAUAAUAUGCAACAAAGAGAUGUAUUCACUGGGGAGCUCAUCCUAUGAUGAUAAAUAUAAGCCAUACAAUUAAAAUGACCUGGCUGAUGUGGAUGAAAAGAUUAAAAUGAAACAUAACUCUGCUUAACUGAUGAGAUUAGACUGCUGAGUUACUAUUUUUCAUGUCCUGCUAUUAAAAAAUUUAAGGAAUACUUUUCAAAGCUUCACUGAUAACAUGGAAAACCCCAGUACAAUGCAAACAGAGAUUCAAAGAAUUUUAAACCUGAAAGGGUCUGUGUAAAUAACGUUGUAUAAUUCUCUCAUCUAGUAAGUUAGGAAAUUUAAAUCCAUAAGUUUGACAAUAUAAGCCUCAAAUCACGUUGCCUCAUUAGUGGUAGAGCUUGGAUAGCUUGGGACAGAUGUUAUUGACCACCUCAGAGAUAAAACCAACCUACAGUCAUUUGUUACUUUAAUAAGUGCACCCACUGAAUUUGAUUUCAUUUUCUAUGGAAAAAAAGACAUGAAAGAAAAAGUUAAUAAAUAUGACGAUGUGCUAAACCCAUUUGCUAUAUAUACAUAAUUUGACAGGUUUAAUAUAUUGAGCUCUUAGACAUAAGAAAAAUGAAACAUCUGCCUACAAAAAUUGGCAAAAGAAAUUUAGAAAAGAAAUAAUAAUCCGACAAAUGAAAAUCAAAGGGAUACAUCUUUUCACUCAGAUUGGCAAAGAAUAAAAAAAUGAUAAAACACAUUAUUGGUGAAGCACAGGUCAAAUGACACAAAGCAUACUGUUGAAAAUUCUCCUCAGAGAAUUCUCACGGUGUGUGUCAAAAUAUAUAAUGUGUAUGCACACCUUCAGAUUAACUAAUUGUAAUACUAGGGUUUCAUUUUUAAGAAAAUUUGAGAGUUGUUCAAAAGUGUAUGAAUAAGGAUUUUCAUUUUAAUGUGUCUAGUAAGAA
This 2002-nucleotide long non-coding RNA is filed under the name Canis lupus familiaris (dog). RNAcentral's name for it is "lncRNA (ENSCAFG00845000274.1)". The record is from RNAcentral. Lineage: Eukaryota; Metazoa; Chordata; Mammalia; Carnivora; Canidae.